AACGGCUGGCGGCAGGCCUAACACAUGCAAGUCGAGCGCGAAAACACUUCGGUGUGAGUAGAGCGGCGGACGGGUGAGUAAUGCUUGGGAAUCUGCCCAGUAGUGGGGGAUAACGUGUGGAAACGCACGCUAAUACCGCAUACGUCCUACGGGAGAAAGCAGGGGAUCUUCGGACCUUGCGCUAUUGGAUGAGCCCAAGUCGGAUUAGCUAGUUGGUGGGGUAAUGGCCUACCAAGGCGACGAUCCGUAGCUGGUCUGAGAGGAUGAUCAGCCACACUGGGACUGAGACACGGCCCAGACUCCUACGGGAGGCAGCAGUGGGGAAUAUUGCACAAUGGGCGAAAGCCUGAUGCAGCCAUGCCGCGUGUGUGAAGAAGGCUCUAGGGUUGUAAAGCACUUUCAGUAGGGAGGAAAAGCUUGAGGUUAAUAACCUUGAGCCCUGACGUUACCUACAGAAGAAGCACCGGCAAACUCCGUGCCAGCAGCCGCGGUAAUACGGAGGGUGCGAGCGUUAAUCGGAAUUACUGGGCGUAAAGCGCGCGUAGGUGGUUUGAUAAGCUAGCUGUGAAAGCCCCGGGCUCAACCUGGGAACUGCAGUUAGAACUGUCUGACUAGAGUACAGUAGAGGGUGGCGGAAUUUCCUGUGUAGCGGUGAAAUGCGUAGAUAUAGGAAGGAACAUCAGUGGCGAAGGCGGCCACCUGGACUGAUACUGACACUGA
Molecule: ribosomal RNA, 720 nt
Filed under: gamma proteobacterium IMCC14302
Lineage: Bacteria; Pseudomonadati; Pseudomonadota; Gammaproteobacteria
Description: bacterial SSU rRNA
Rfam family: Bacterial small subunit ribosomal RNA
Source: RNAcentral